This 562-nucleotide ribosomal RNA is filed under the name uncultured bacterium. RNAcentral describes it as "partial 16S ribosomal RNA". It matches the Rfam family "Bacterial small subunit ribosomal RNA", at positions 355 to 935 of the family's 1533-position model. The record is from RNAcentral.
UGGGGAAUAUUGGACAAUGGGCGCAAGCCUGAUCCAGCCAUGCCGCGUGAGUGAUGAAGGCCUUAGGGUUGUAAAGCUCUUUCGCCGACGAAGAUAAUGACGGUAGUCGGAGAAGAAGCCCCGGCUAACUUCGUGCCAGCAGCCGCGGUAAUACGAAGGGGGCUAGCGUUGUUCGGAAUCACUGGGCGUAAAGCGCACGUAGGCGGAUUGUUAAGUCAGGGGUGAAAGCCUGGAGCUCAACUCCAAGAACUGCCCUUGAUACUGGCAAUCUCGAGUCCGGAAGAGGUAAGUGGAACUGCGAGUGUAAGAGGUGAAAAUUCGUAGAUAUUCGCAAGAACACCAGUGGCGAAGGCGGCUUACUGGUCCGGUACUGACGCUGAGGUGCGAAAGCGUGGGGAGCAAAACAGGAUUAGAUACCCUGGUAGUCCACGCCGUAAACGAUGGAGGCUAGCCGUUGGCGAGCAUGCUCGUCAGUGGCGCAGCUAACGCAUUAAGCCUCCCGCCUGGGGGAGUACGGUCGCAAGAUUAAAACUCAAAUGAAUUGACGGGGUCAUAGCUGUUU